AUUGAACGCUGGCGGCAGGCCUAACACAUGCAAGUCGAACGGUAACAGGAAGAAGCUUGCUUCUUUGCUGACGAGUGGCGGACGGGUGAGUAAUGUCUGGGAAACUGCCUGAUGGAGGGGGAUAACUACUGGAAACGGUAGCUAAUACCGCAUAACGUCGCAAGACCAAAGAGGGGGACCUUCGGGCCUCUUGCCAUCGGAUGUGCCCAGAUGGGAUUAGCUAGUAGGUGGGGUAACGGCUCACCUAGGCGACGAUCCCUAGCUGGUCUGAGAGGAUGACCAGCCACACUGGAACUGAGACACGGUCCAGACUCCUACGGGAGGCAGCAGUGGGGAAUAUUGCACAAUGGGCGCAAGCCUGAUGCAGCCAUGCCGCGUGUAUGAAGAAGGCCUUCGGGUUGUAAAGUACUUUCAGCGGGGAGGAAGGGAGUAAAGUUAAGACCUUUGCUCAUUGACGUUACCCGCAGAAGAAGCACCGGCUAACUCCGU
RNAcentral lists this ribosomal RNA (489 nucleotides) under uncultured bacterium. RNAcentral describes it as "partial 16S ribosomal RNA". It matches the Rfam family "Bacterial small subunit ribosomal RNA", at positions 30 to 506 of the family's 1533-position model. The record is from RNAcentral.